Molecule: long non-coding RNA, 217 nt
Filed under: Homo sapiens (human)
Lineage: Eukaryota; Metazoa; Chordata; Mammalia; Primates; Hominidae
Description: HSALNT0257350
Source: RNAcentral
GGGACAGCGGGGGCAAAUUUCCCAGAGCGGAAUACAGUCCACCAUUAAGACGGUGACUCAUGUACUUGGACCAAACAUAAAGAAGGUCUUGACUUUCAUACCUGGAGCCAGAAAAUGUAUGGAAUUUUGAAUCUCAUUUCUGGACCUGCUUGCAGGCGUGAUUGUGACAUAUACCUUGGUCCAGCACCUGAGUGAUUUGACUAUCCUGCCUGGGUAA